CAGUAGCCGCGGGAACACGAAGGGUGCAAGCGUUAAUCGGAAUUACUGGGCGUAAAGCGUGCGUAGGCGGUGAGUUAAGUCUGCUGUGAAAUCCCCGGGCUCAACCUGGGAAUGGCAAUGGAUACUGGCAAGCUAGAGUGUGUCAGAGGAUGGUGGAAUUCCCGGUGUAGCGGUGAAAUGCGUAGAGAUCGGGAGGAACAUCAGUGGCGAAGGCGGCCAUCUGGGACAACACUGACGCUGAGGCACGAAAGCGUGGGGAGCAAACAGGAUUAGAUACCCCCGUAGUCCCUGUCUCUUAUAC
RNAcentral lists this ribosomal RNA (301 nucleotides) under uncultured bacterium. RNAcentral's name for it is "partial 16S ribosomal RNA". It matches the Rfam family "Bacterial small subunit ribosomal RNA", at positions 509 to 807 of the family's 1533-position model. The record is from RNAcentral.